AGCCAUUUGGAGGUAUGAAGAGAUCUUGGAAAUAGAGGCCAUGUGUGUUGAAACAAGACCGAACAACUCCAAGUUCCUGAAGACUUCAUUUCACCAACCCAGAACCUCCUUGAUCAUCACAGUGUUCAAAUGGUUUCCAGCAACAUUCCUACCACCUACUUUGCUGACACAAAGGUGCAUAAACAGAAGUCCUAUGUGGUCGAACCAUUUUACAUUUUCACCAGCAAUGAAGGAGGGUUCCUGUUGCUCUACCAUUUGGUACUGUCAGCGUUUUGGAUAUUAGCCGUCCUAAUAGCCUUUGCAUGGAUGAUUGUCUGUCCUCUGUUGGGCCCCUUCUGAAGAGUUGGAGUUGGCUUUAUACAAUUAUUCCCAAAUCUUCUAAACUGACAGUGAGGGAGAGUAAUUUGAAAGGACUGCUCAACUCAACGUCAUUUGAAGAUUUGCACCACAGCUGCAUUUUUCCAAUUUCCUGGCAUCUAUUCUGCUCUCCUGGACUUUUCAAAAACAAUUGUAAGUGGAUGAAUAAAUAUAAUAACUGAUUCCAUUGAUACUCUUAGACCAUCCUUUGGACUUUCUGCUUUUGGACAUUUUACAGUUUAAAAUUUAUUUAUCAUCUAUCGAUGUUUCCCAAAGAAGGACUCAAAGUACACAUUGUCAAAGAUCUCAUGGAUCUAAUUAAGGACAGGGAACAGGUACAGAAUCAUACAUUGUCUCUACACAGAGGGGAUAAUUUCUGAAGGAAAGAAG
RNAcentral lists this long non-coding RNA (747 nucleotides) under Homo sapiens (human). RNAcentral describes it as "non-protein coding lnc-WIF1-6:24". Lineage: Eukaryota; Metazoa; Chordata; Mammalia; Primates; Hominidae. The record is from RNAcentral.